AGAGCGAACGCUGGCGGCAGGCCUAACACAUGCAAGUCGAGCGCCCGUAGCAAUACGGGAGCGGCAGACGGGAUAGUAACACGUGGGAACGCGCCCUUCGGUUCGGAAUAACUCAGGGAAACUUGAGCUAAUACCGGAUACGCCCUUACGGGGAAAGAUUUAUUGCCGAAGGAACGGCCCGCGUCCGAUUAGCUAGUUGGUGAGGUAAUGGCUCACCAAGGCGACGAUCGGUAGCUGGUCUGAGAGGAUGACCAGCAUCACUGGGACUGAGACGCGGCCCAGACUCCUACGGGAGGCAGCAGUGGGGAAUAUUGGACAAUGGGCGCAAGCCUGAUCCAGCCAUGCCGCGUGGAUGAUGAAGGCCUUAGGGUUGUAAAGUCCUUUUAACGGGGAAGAUAAUGACGGUACCCGUAGAAUAAGCCCCGGCUAACUUCGUGCCAGCAGCCGC
Molecule: ribosomal RNA, 448 nt
Filed under: uncultured bacterium
Lineage: Bacteria
Description: SSU rRNA
Rfam family: Bacterial small subunit ribosomal RNA
Source: RNAcentral